This 389-nucleotide ribosomal RNA is filed under the name uncultured bacterium. RNAcentral's name for it is "bacterial SSU rRNA". It matches the Rfam family "Bacterial small subunit ribosomal RNA", at positions 28 to 419 of the family's 1533-position model. The record is from RNAcentral.
AAUCAACGCUGGCGGCGUGCUUAACACAUGCAAGUCGAGCGGUAAGGCCCUUUCGGGGGUACACGAGCGGCGAACGGGUGAGUAACACGUGGGUGACCUGCCCUCAGCUCUGGGAUAAGCCUGGGAAACCGGGUCUAAUACUGGAUAUGACUCCAUGACGCAUGUUGUGGGGUGGAAAGCCUUGUGCGGCUGAGGAUGGGCCCGCGGCCUAUCAGCUUGUUGGUGGGGGAUGGCCUACCAAGGCGACGACGGGUAGCCGGCCUGAGAGGGCGACCGGCCACACUGGGACUGAGACACGGCCCAGACUCCUACGGGAGGCAGCAGUGGGGAAUCUUGCGCAAUGGGCGAAAGCCUGACGCAGCGACGCCGCGUGAGGGAUGACGGCCUGG